UCCCUGGUGGUCUGUUGGUUGAGACUCUGCACUUCCAAUGCAGGGGGCCAGGGUUCAAUCCCUGGCUGGGGAA
Molecule: transfer RNA, 73 nt
Organism: Ovis aries (sheep)
Lineage: Eukaryota; Metazoa; Chordata; Mammalia; Artiodactyla; Bovidae
Rfam family: tRNA
About the family: Transfer RNA (tRNA) molecules are approximately 80 nucleotides in length. Their secondary structure includes four short double-helical elements and three loops (D, anti-codon, and T loops).
Source: Rfam